Long non-coding RNA from Papaver somniferum (opium poppy), 2023 nucleotides. RefSeq lists it as uncharacterized. The transcript is spliced from 3 exons. The record is from RefSeq and is a predicted model, not a curated record. NCBI's taxonomy places the organism in Eukaryota, Viridiplantae, Streptophyta, Magnoliopsida, Ranunculales, Papaveraceae.
GAGCGGGUGUCUAAGCAAAUUGGGUCGGCCUUAUCUCCAGAUCGAGAAGAUAACCCAUUCUCUUUUCUUUUCUAUUCAUUCUUCUUCUUUCUUCUUUCCCCUUCUUCUCAGUUCUUCUUCUGCGAGUGUUUCAGAGAAAACUAGAGAUUUUGAUUGAGAGAAUCAAUCUAUGAUGAAUAUCGUAUGAAGUAGAACUUUCUGCUGGUGUUGAUAAAGAGUUGAGAGUUGUACUGAUAUUUUAGGGAGCAGAUUUAGGGUUUUGAAGAUGAAUUGGAGAAUCAAAGAGCUGGGGUUUCUGUGAAUUGAAUCCGAGUCCUUAGGUGAACUGAGAGGUGAUUUGGGUCGCUGCUGGUGGAAUAACAAAAAGGGUUGAGGUUUAAUUGAAGUUCUGAAGUUGUUUUAGAGAGGACUCAAAGAAUUCGGGUUUAUAAGAAAUUCAGAAUAUGAGUUUGAAGAUGAAAUUGAGGUUUUAAAGAGGAGAUUUAAGAUGGGUUUUCAUCAGGUAUGAAGUAGUAAUGGUUGCAUGGGUUUAAUUUGGAUUUCAGUUCCUCAUGUUCUUUCCCAAAUUAGAAUUAGGGUUCUGAAUUUAUUGGAAAUUAGAGUGGAGUUGAUUAAGGGGGAAUUGAAGGCUGGGUAUGGUUGAUAUGAGAAGUUAGAGUUAUCUUUUAAACUCAGAAUUAGAAAAUACAGGAUUUGAGGAUUGUUUUGGGAUUUUGCUGAGAACCGGUGAUGAGGUUGAUCAAGGAUGGGUGUUUGGAGAUUGAUGAAUUUAAGGCUGCAGCAGUUGGAGUUGAUGAAGCAACAGUUCAGGGGAGGCUAAUAUCUGAGUAAGUCCUAUGUUGCUUGAUUACAAUAAUUGAAAUUGAAUUAUGCAUAAUCUGAUAUAGAUGAAGAAUAUGAUGAGUUUUAAGGAAUGUGAUAAUGUUAUUGUUGGUAUGGGUUGGAUGAAUGAGUGAUUACAGGAUUUGAACUAUAGGGAAUUAGUUUAUGUUGUAUUGAUGUAUGUGAAAUUUGGAUAUUGAACAGUAAUUUGAAGAAUGGUGUUGAGUUGACUAAACUGAAGUAAGUGUUUAAUGGAUAAUUAGAAGUUGGAGUUGUUGGUUCUGAGAAAGAAUAGUUGCAAUGAUGUACCAUGAAGACUUGAGUUUUGAGAUAAUGAUACAGAUGGGUAUAGUGGUGUGUGUUGUCUGUGCAGAAUUAUAAAGUUAUGGAGUGCAGGUAGGGGCUGUGUAAUGGAUCUGAGUUAGGUUGUUGUAGUUUAGAAGUUGAAGAGUUCAGUUUGGCUGAAGGGUGAGAAUGGAUUAGAGACUGUUGGGUUGAGUUAUAAGUUGAAAUGGUGCUGCUGAAGUUACAGGGGAUAUGAGUGGCUGGUGGAGGUAUAGAAACUAGGUGCUGGUGUUGUUAAGAUUAGAGGAGAUACAAGUAAUGGUUUUGUAAAAUAAAUGGGACUGAAGUUGGAGACUAGUAUGUGGAUGAUUUCAGACAAGAGUGUGUAUUGGAAAGUUGCUAGAGGUGAACAAGGAUGUUAGAAACCUAGAUUUGAGAUGAGAAGAUACACAAUGGGGAAUGAAGUAUGAAAUCUGUUUGAGGUUGAAUUGUUAGUUAGACCUGCAGGUGACUAUAGUUGAGUUUGGUGUUGAUUGUUGUUGGUGUUUGAUGUAAAGCUUGGAACUGCUGAACUGCAGUUAGUCUGUAUUAACAACGAUCGAUUCAAAGGAUGAACCAGUGGAUCAUGGAUCUCGAGGUAGGCGUGGCUUGUCAUCAAAAGAGUUUCAGAGACAGACCAGAGUUGCGCGGCGGAUGCGUCGAAGUGUUGAGUUCGGUAGUUGGUUAACUUCUGUUAUGUUUACUACGUUGUAUAUUCUGUUUAUAAACCAAAUGACUAUUAUAUAUAUAUAUCAUUUGAGAGGAGUUCUUGUAUAUAUAUUUCAGAGAGGGGCUAGUUAUGUGGUUAAGUUUUGUAACAGAUUUCUAAACUGAAGGUUUAACUAAAGGAUUUAGAUUUUUAGUGCCUCUUCAUUUA